Molecule: ribosomal RNA, 1429 nt
Filed under: uncultured bacterium
Lineage: Bacteria
Description: bacterial SSU rRNA
Rfam family: Bacterial small subunit ribosomal RNA
Source: RNAcentral
AGAGUUUGAUCCUGGCUCAGGAUGACCUUUGGCGGCAUGCCUAAGACAUGCAAGUCGAACGGAGUAAUUCACUGAUAUUUUUGUGCUUGCAUACAAACGGAAGUGAUCGUUACUUAGUGGCGAACGGGUGAGUAACACGUGGGUAAUCUACCCAUCAGAUUGGAACAACACAGGGAAACUUGUGCUAAUACCAAAUAAUAAAUAAGAAUGAUUUUUUUAUUUUGAAAGGAGCCUUUAAAGCUCCGCUGAUGGAUGAGCCUGCGGCGUAUUAGUUAGUUGGUAAGGUAAUGGCUUACCAAGACUUCGAUGCGUAGCCGAACUGAGAGGUUGAUCGGCCACACUGGGACUGAGACACGGCCCAGACUCCUACGGGAGACAGCAGUUAGGAAUAUUCGUCAAUGGGGGAAACCCUGAACGAGCGAUGUCGCGUGAGUGAAGAAGGUCCUUUGGAUUGUAAAGCUCUGUUGUAUGGGAAGAACAGCUAGAUUAGGAAAUGAAUCUAGUCUGACGGUACCAUGCCAGAAAGCACCGGCAAACUAUGUGCCAGCAGCCGCGGUAAUACAUAGGGUGCGAGCGUUAUCCGGAUUUAUUGGGCGUAAAGCGUGUGUAGGCGGUUUACUAAGUAUGGAAUCAAAGCCUGGGGCUCAACCCCAGUUCGUUUCAUAAACUGGUAGACUUGAGUAUGGUAGAGGCAAAUGGAAUUUCUAGUGUAGCGGUAAAAUGUGUAGAUAUUAGAAGGAACAUCAGUGGCGAAGGCGAUUUGCUGGGCCAUUACUGACGCUGAGACACGAAAGCGUGGGAGCAAAUAGGAUUAGAUACCCUAGUAGUCCACGCAGUAAAAAAGGAGUACUAAGUGUCGGAAUUUUUCCGGGGCUGAAGUUAACACAUUAAGUACUCCGCCUGAGUAGUACAGUCGCAAGACCGGAACUCAAAGGAAAUGGCGGGGCACCCGCACAAACCGUGGGAGCAUGCUGUUUAAAUUGGAGCUACGCGAAGAACCCUAACCUAGACUUGACAUGCCGAUGACCGGCUUAGAAAUAAGCUUUUCCCUUCGGGNACAUCGGACACAGGUGGUGCAUGGUUGUCGUCAGCUCGUGUCGUGAGAUGUUUGGUUAAGUCCAAUAACGAGCGCAACCCCUAUCUUUAGUUGCUAACAUUAAGUUGAGAACCCUAAAGAUACUGUCGGUAAUAAAUCGAAGGAAGGUGGGGAUGAUGUCAAAUCAUCAUGCCCCUUAUGUCUGGGGCAACAGGCGUGCUACAAUGGCCGGUAUAAAAAGAUGCAAUAUAGUGAUAUGGAGCAAAUCUCAAAAGCCGGUCUCAGUUCGGAUUGAAGUCUGCAACUCGACUUCAUGAAGUUGGAAUCGCUAGUAAUCCUGAAUCAGAAUGUCAGGGUGAAUACGUUCUCGGGUGUUGCACACACCGCCCGUCA